AAGCCAUGCAUGUCUAAGUAUAAACAAUUAUACAGUGAAACUGCGAACGGCUCAUUAAAUCAGUUAUCGUUUAUUUGAUAGUUUUCUACAUGGAUAACCGUGAUAACUUCAGAACUAAUACAUGACAGCCUUCUGGCGUAUAUAUUAGAUACAAACCAACAGUAUGGUGAUUCAUAAUAUCUUGUCGAACCGAUCUUCGGUGUAUCAUUCAAAUUUCUGCCCUAUCAACUGUCGAUGGUAGGAUCGUGGCCUACCAUGGUAACAACGGGUAACGGGGAAUCAGGGUUCUAUUCCGGAGAGGGAGCCUGAGAAACGGCUACCACAUCCAAGGAAGGCAGCAGGCGCGCAAAUUACCCAAUCCUGACACAGGGAGGUAGUGACAAUAUAUAACGAUCCGGGGCUCUUUGAGUUUCGGAAUUGGAAUGAGUACAAUUUAAACACCUUAACGAGGAACAAUUGGAGGGCAAGUCUGGUGCCAGCAGCCGCGGUAAUUCCAGCUCCAAUAGCGUAUAUUAAUGUUGUUGCAGUUAAAAAGCUCGUAGUUGAAAUUGGGCGGGCUAUUAGUUUAGGCCGCUUCAGGAAGAACUUCUUCCAGUUACUUUGAAAAAAUUAGAGUGUUCAACGCAGGUUUCGCCUGAAUAUAUUAGCAUGGAAUAACAUAACACGACGAGGGUCCAUUUUGUUGGCUUGCAAACCCACGUAAUGAUUAAUAGGGACAGUCGGGGGCGUCAGUAUUGUGUUGUCAGAGGUGAAAUUCUUGGAUUUACACAAGACUAACUACUGCGAAGGCAUUCGCCAAGGAUGUAUUCAUUAAUCAAGAACGAAAGUUAGGGGAUCAAAGAUGAUCAGAUACCGUCGUAGUCUUAACCGUAAACUAUGCCGACUGAGAAUGGGUACCGCUUAUACGGUAUCCGCGCUCUACGAGAAAUCAAAGUGAUCAGGUUCUGGGGGGAGUAUGGUCGCAAGGCUGAAACUUAAAGGAAUUGACGGAAGGGCACCACCAGGAGUGGAGCCUGCGGCUUAAUUUGACUCAACACGGGGAAACUCACCAGGUCCAGACACAAUAAGGAUUGACAGAUUGAUAGCUCUUUCUUGAUUUUGUGGGUGGUGGUGCAUGGCCGUUCUUAGUUGGUGGAGUGAUUUGUCUGCUUAAUUGCGAUAACGAACGAGACCUUGACCUACUAAAUAGCUCUACUUGCGAUUGCAGGUAGCUAGCUUCUUAGAGGGACUAUCUAUUACAAGUAGAUGGAAGUUCGAGGCAAUAACAGGUCUGUGAUGCCCUUAGACGUUCUGGGCCGCACGCGCGCUAC
RNAcentral lists this ribosomal RNA (1310 nucleotides) under Listeria monocytogenes. RNAcentral's name for it is "SSU rRNA". It matches the Rfam family "Eukaryotic small subunit ribosomal RNA", at positions 46 to 1501 of the family's 1831-position model. The record is from RNAcentral. Lineage: Bacteria; Bacillati; Bacillota; Bacilli; Caryophanales; Listeriaceae.